GAAUUGGUCUUAGUUAAGAUCCAGACUGAACCAUGGCAGCCCUAGCUCAGCUCCUCUGCCUCCUGUUCCUCUGGCUCCCAGAUACCACUGGAGAAGUUGUGAUGACGCAGUCUCCAGCCUCCCUGUCUUUGUCUCCAGGGGAAAAAGCCACCCUCACCUGCAGGGCCAGUCAGGGUAUUAGCAGCUACUUAGCCUGGUACCAGCAGAAACCUGGGCAGGCUCCCAAGCUCCUCAUCUAUGGUGCAUCCACCAGGGCCACCGGCAUCCCAUCCAGAUUCAGUGGCAGUGGGUCUGGGACAGACUUUACUCUCACCAUCAACAGCCUGGAGCCUGAAGAUUUUGCAGUUUAUCACUGUCAACAAUAUAGUAGUGGGUAUCUCACAGUGAUUCACCAUGAAACAAAAACCUCCAUG
This is a non-coding RNA of Galeopterus variegatus (Sunda flying lemur), 413 nucleotides long. The record is from the annotation of a RefSeq genome assembly. Lineage: Eukaryota; Metazoa; Chordata; Mammalia; Dermoptera; Cynocephalidae.